UACGAAGGGGGCUAGCGUUGCUCGGAAUCACUGGGCGUAAAGGGUGCGUAGGCGGGUCCUUAAGGCCUGCGUGAAAUCCUGCGGCUCAACCGCAGACGGUCGUGGGAAACUGGAAGGCUAGAGUGCGGGAGAGGAGAGUGGAAUUCCCGGUGUAGCGGUGAAAUGCGCAGAUAUCGGGAAGAACACCCGUGGCGAAGGCGGCUCUCUGGAACGCAACUGACGCUGAGACGCGAAAGCGUGGGGAGCAAACAGG
RNAcentral lists this ribosomal RNA (253 nucleotides) under uncultured bacterium. RNAcentral describes it as "partial 16S ribosomal RNA". It matches the Rfam family "Bacterial small subunit ribosomal RNA", at positions 524 to 776 of the family's 1533-position model. The record is from RNAcentral.